RNAcentral lists this ribosomal RNA (465 nucleotides) under uncultured bacterium. RNAcentral describes it as "partial 16S ribosomal RNA". It matches the Rfam family "Bacterial small subunit ribosomal RNA", at positions 28 to 507 of the family's 1533-position model. The record is from RNAcentral.
GACGAACGCUGGCGGCGUGCUUAACACAUGCAAGUCGAACGGAAAGGCCCCUUUGGGGGUACUCGAGUGGCGAACGGGUGAGUAACACGUGAGUAACCUGCCCUUGACUUCGGGAUAACUUCAGGAAACUGGGGCUAAUACCGGAUAGGAAUCCUUGCUGCAUGGUGGGGGUUGGAAAGCUUCGGCGGUUUUGGAUGGACUCACGGCUUAUCAGCUUGUUGGUGGGGUAGUGGCUUACCAAGGCUUUGACGGGUAGCCGGCCUGAGAGGGCGACCGGCCACAUUGGGACUGAGAUACGGCCCAGACUCCUACGGGAAGCAGCAGUGGGGAAUAUUGCACAAUGGGCGGGAGCCUGAUGCAGCAACGCCGCGGGCGGGAUGACGGCCUUCGGGUUGUAAACCGCUUUCAGCAGGGGCGAAGCUUGUGGUGACGGUACCUGCAGAAGAAGCACCGGCUAACUACGUG